RNAcentral lists this transfer RNA (76 nucleotides) under Staphylococcus aureus. RNAcentral describes it as "tRNA-Asp". It matches the Rfam family "tRNA". From Rfam's summary of the family: Transfer RNA (tRNA) molecules are approximately 80 nucleotides in length. Their secondary structure includes four short double-helical elements and three loops (D, anti-codon, and T loops). Further hydrogen bonds mediate the characteristic L-shaped molecular structure. tRNAs have two regions of fundamental functional importance: the anti-codon, which is responsible for specific mRNA codon recognition, and the 3' end, to which the tRNAs corresponding amino acid is attached (by aminoacyl-tRNA synthetases). tRNAs cope with the degeneracy of the genetic code in two manners: having more than one tRNA (with a specific anti-codon) for a particular amino acid; and 'wobble' base-pairing, i.e. permitting non-standard base-pairing at the 3rd anti-codon position. The record is from RNAcentral. Lineage: Bacteria; Bacillati; Bacillota; Bacilli; Caryophanales; Staphylococcaceae.
GGUCUCGUAGUGUAGCGGUUAACACGCCUGCCUGUCACGCAGGAGCUCGCGGGUUCGAUUCCCGUCGAGACCGCCA